AUUGAACGCUGGCGGUAUGCUUAACACAUGCAAGUCGAACGGCAGCAUGGUCUAGCUUGCUAGACUGAUGGCGAGUGGCGAACGGGUGAGUAACGCGUAGGAAUAUGCCUUAAAGUGGGGACAACUUGGGAAACUCAAGCUAAUACCGCAUAAUUUCUUCGGAGAAAAGCUAGGGACCUUUGGCCUGGCGCUUUAAGAUU
RNAcentral lists this ribosomal RNA (200 nucleotides) under uncultured bacterium. RNAcentral's name for it is "partial 16S ribosomal RNA". It matches the Rfam family "Bacterial small subunit ribosomal RNA", at positions 30 to 227 of the family's 1533-position model. The record is from RNAcentral.